GAAGAAGAAGAAGAAGAAGAGAAGUGAUAUCAAAUCAUGUGAAAAGAGAAAUGGGCAUUAUUGAAGCAAAGACCUGUGUAUAGUACAGGAACUUGUGUGGGUUUUGGCUUAGAUAUGAGAGAAGCAAACAAGAAGAAAAAGAGAAAGAGAGCAAUAGCUAAUGAGAACCAAAAUGGCACGCCUUGCUUGACUAAAAACCCAUAAAAUUGAAAAAAUAAAGAAGGGAGAGAAUUAAGAAAAGAAAAAUGAAAAUUUU
RNAcentral lists this unclassified non-coding RNA (256 nucleotides) under Hevea brasiliensis (rubber tree). The record is from RNAcentral. Lineage: Eukaryota; Viridiplantae; Streptophyta; Magnoliopsida; Malpighiales; Euphorbiaceae.